This 190-nucleotide small nuclear RNA is filed under the name Castor canadensis (American beaver). Its description in RNAcentral is "U2 spliceosomal RNA (ENSCCNG00000012556.1)". It matches the Rfam family "U2 spliceosomal RNA". From Rfam's summary of the family: U2 is a small nuclear RNA (snRNA) component of the spliceosome (involved in pre-mRNA splicing). Lineage: Eukaryota; Metazoa; Chordata; Mammalia; Rodentia; Castoridae. The record is from Rfam by way of RNAcentral.
AUCGCUUCCAGCCUUUUGGCUAAGAUCAAGUGUAGUAUCUGUUCUUAUCAGUUUACUAUCUGAUACGUCCUCUAUCCGAGGACAGCAUAUUAAAUGGAUUUUUGGAACAGGGAGAUGGAAUAGGAGCUUGCUCCGUCCACUCCACACAUCGACCUGGUAUUGCGGUACCUCCUGAAAUGGUGCACCAAAA